UAUCUUGGAAUAUCUGAUGGAGAUGAUGGUUAUAUUUAUUCCCCGUUAGGCUCGGUUAGCCUUGGUGGUUUUCCGGGUUUAGCAUAUAUAUAUAUAUAUAUAUAUUAAGAGUAUGAGUGAUUGGCGGGUAUUGUGGAGGUGAUGUUUAAGAUAGAUUCACAUGGAUGGAUUGAGAGGCCUUAUAAUUAUAUUAAUUAUGGAAUAUAAUUCCACUGCAUUCAAAUGGUGUCGCUUGCUCGGGAUACUAUUGAUAUGUGUUUGGGUGUGGGAUUAGACUCACUGAGUAAACUAGUUACUCAUGACUCAUUUGAUAUGCAGGUAACCAGUAGGUGGGAGACCUUUACUCUAGGACGGGAAGGAACGGCAUUAGCCAGCGGUAGUUUUAUUAUCCUUGCAGUCGUUUUGAUAUACUUUAUGUAUAAGGUUUGUUGACCGAAAACCUCGAGGUUAAUCUAUAAGAUUUUGUAAGAUUCUUUUAAAUGAAUAAGUAUAUAGUGUAUAAAGAAUGUUUUUAAAGUACGGGUUCCAAAUGAUAUUAGUCCUUGUCCGGACGAACCAACUAUUGGGUAUUACUCUUAAGGUUGUAAAGCCUCGGGUUGUACCUAAUAGGAUAUGUGUACUUAGGCGGUUGGCCUAAGGUACCUGGAUUCAUUUCGGGAACUUCGGGUUAGUCGUUUAUGUACACAUUGUGGCUUCUCGGUUUGGUUUCAGUUACGAGUGAUCGGCUGUGCAUGUUCUUGUUUGAUUGUUGCACGGCUGGUCGAGUCAACUUAUACUUAGACCAGAUCGGGGGUGUCACAAAGGUGGUAUCAGAGCAUGGUUAUACGAUGCUUGAAUGGGACUUGUUUCAAACGUUUUUCGAGUCAAAAUGAGUCGCAAGGAUAAUUAGGAUGUGCUGGCUAGUUCCUUCAUCUUAGGAUAGAUAGUCAUGGGUAGUUACCUUACUGUUAUCUUUCAUACGAGAUGCAUCAAGACAAGCUCGACGGAGUGGAGUGUUCUUACCAAUUUUGAUCCUGUCAAGAUCGAGAUUCCUACAAUCAUGAUUGAGCUUUCUACCGUCAUGAUUCGGUUUGUUAUCGUCAUGUUUUGGUUCAAUCCGGUCAUGGUUCAAUCCAUUAUCAUCAUGCUCGGGUGAGCUAACGACGUGCUCAUGUUUGCUACCAUCAUGCUCGGAGUUGGUAUCAUCAUGCUUUCCCGCGGUUCCAACAAUUUCUAGUGUGGAUACCGAUAUUCAAAGAUAUAUGAGACAGAGUUGACACAUCAAUUACAUCUUCGGCCCAUGUUUUAUUGAAGUCAAAGUUGACGUUGUUGGUUAUGAUCCGGUUCAGAAUAUCCGACUUCAUAUGACUUAUUCUUUCGGCUGCUCAGUUCAAUCCAGCUUAUGCCCAAAUGUACCAGAACCAGAGACGUACAAGCCUGAUUGAUUCAGCACUUGUUUCAAUCUUAACGUUGGUGGCGGAGAUAGUUCAGCAGUAGUACAAGACGAUGGACGCACCAGCACCAUUCAGUUGCAACAAGACAUCUUGAAGUUUGUGAACAAGAUAAAGAAGUUGGGACAACACCGACAAGUACUAAACCAUUUGAUGUAGAUUUUGUAUAGAGGAAGAUUUCGAAUGCAACACUAGGAGCAGAACAACUAACAUGGCCCAUUGUUCACAAAAUUGCAAGAAAUAUAUUGAACCAUACAUCAUCAAGAAUGAUACAGUAAGUUGGUGAUUAAGCGUCAAGCAUCAUUUGGGAAAUGUUAGUCCAAGUUAGGCGGAUUUCUUUCAAGAGUUCAAGAUGGAGUGUUUUCUACCCAAAACAUGGGACCGAGAUGGAGUUCGCACAGUGAGAUGUUUCCGCCAAGAUUUUGAAGUCAAGUUAAUCUGAUUUAUCCAUUAUGGUUUGGAGGAUGAGGUAAAGAUCAUGAAGAUGUACUAUUGUGACUUAGCCAUUAAUCUCAGAGUAACCCAAACUAUAAAGCUUAAGAGCUAUGAGGAGUUGGUGGAGGAUCACAUGAAUUCUAUAGAAGCCGUUUUUACUGAAGAAGUUUACCAAGUCAUGCAGAUUAUUUAACUAUCAACCUAUUCAGAUAGAAGGUCAGUUUCAAGUAAUGAAUCAAGAAAGUCGAUGGAGAUAAUUUUUGUUGGACGUUUCAUCAGAUCAAGACCGAGGACCCUGAGUUGUUUUGGUUUUGGCUAGAAAGGAGAGUAAGGUGAUGAUUGUUCAAGAAUAUAAAAUCCUCGAUCGCUUACGUCAUUUGCGCUUCGGUGGUGCCAGUAAUGAGUACAGAGGUUAUCCUACCAUGGCCCAUGAAGUUACCCGAUCUUUUUACCUAUACCUAGGGUACCGCUUGUUUAACUUGUUCGCUUUCCUUACCAUUAGUCACUAACUAAGUGUUUGGCUAUUUGGGUAGAGCCUACACUUUAUAGUUGCCUGGACCGUCAAAACCUCUGAAAAGGUCCAAUCACAGGUUUGCUUCUUAUCCCAUUGCGUGUUGUGUGCAUUUUAAAAAUUGAUGAAUGAUUAAAUAAAUUAGUGAAGGAGUGAUCAAGGUGUCGUAUGAGACCUUGCCUAUGGACGGAAUUUUCCGCCCAUAUUGUGUUUGAUGCGGGAACAACACAUAGAUGUAGUUCUCGGGUAGUGUCAUUGUUCUAGGAAGGAUUCACUUUAGUGAAUUCAGGUACACUGUUCUUAUUCGUGGAAGUACUGGCUGCCAUUUAGAGUUAUGGUAUGCCUUCGUAUCCCAUCCCCAUUCCUUAGUACUUCCAUUAGAGCGGUUUGUUUCUAUCUAGAAUGAAGAUUGGCUAUCUAGUUAUCGAGCUCAAUUAGGAUGUUGUUGAGGAAGGAAGUCUUUGAGAGAUGACCAGUUACCGUUGGCCUGCAGUCGUAUUCUACUAAGUGUUGGAGCCUCGCUCAUAUCAGUCUGGAGAGAAUAGAUAGCCUUCAAGAUUGCAAGUAGAAAAUCAGAUGGCUUAUUCAUUCGUAUUUGAGGAACUCAGUUGAACGAUGAGAAUCUAAGGAAUUCAUAGAAGGAACUGGGUGAAGAGAAUUUUGAAGAAUAGUAUGAGGACUGUGUCAUGUACAAGUUCAUAAAGUGGAGAUGUGGGAGAAGGAACCCAAAUUCAACCUAAACUUAAGCAGAUGUGAAGUAAAUCCCAAGGAAGAAUUAAGAGUGCAAGGAAAAAGGUAUAACCAUAAGGCAUAUGGGAAUGCUCAAGUUGUUAAGAGAUUAGAAGAUGUAUUAACAGAGAAAGUGUGAAGUCAUCAUACAAGAGUACUUCGUUGGUAAAUCAUGUUUGGUAUAGGCGGACUUGUUGAUUCCUCAGUUACUAGACAGAAGAAGGAAAUCAGAAAGUAAUAGAACAAGACUUGGAUAUGCGAAACUUCAGUGAGAUUGAGUCGUUCAGAAGUUUUUGAAGAGUAUCUCAGAUAGAUAAGAAGGGUAUGGAAUACUGUAAGGGAAAUCAUUCCUGGAAUAAGUGUGUGUGUGUGUAUUUGAGAGUGGCACCCUUGGUCUGAAUCAUGUUAGUGUGAUUGAUCGUGCAUGUUCUUGUUUGAUUGUUGCACGGUUAAUCAAGUUGACAUUGACCAGACUGAAGAUGUUACCUUCACGUAUGGCACAUCACCUGACGUUCCAUAUUUCCAUGUUAUUGAACUGGAGGAAAGCAGAUAGAAAGGUUUCAGAAGUAAUGGUAUUCAGAGAUUCAACGAUGUCAAAGGAAGUAUGUAGACCGCAGUAUAUGAAAGUUAUGUGCGAUGAAGAAUUGGUUAUCGUGAAAGUGUUUGCUCAGAAAAGAAAGAAUUAUUUUAGAAAAGUUGGGGAAAUCCACAAAUCUGUUAUUUGGUAUGUACCGAGUUGUUCAGAAUUGAAAUGGUUAUCUGUUGACCGGAACUUCUUUUAUUUAUGCUAUUGGUGAGCCGAUUUUGCGUAAUCUUAUAUCAGACCCAGUAUGAUAGAACUGCAGAGACAAGAAAACUUGUAACCCUAUUUAGCAUAUCCUAAAGGUCCUUUGCGGAUAGGUGAGCACCAUAUCAGAAGAUUGGAGAAAAGGAAUAAUUUGUAAAAGUUCAAGUAUUUGGGGAACCAUCAGUUGUUUUGACACGGGCAGAUGAGGAUAAGUUCAGAGUUGGUUAUCUUAAACUUCUUGCAGAGACUCCAGUGUUCAGUAAAAGUCUGUACAGCUAUGUUUUGAGAAUUCGGGGACGAAUUCUUAUAAGGGGGGAAGAAUGUAAUAACCCUCACGAGCCAGUUAAUUUUUGGUCGAGAAAAACUCCGCUCGACCAGUUUGGAGUUGGUCGAUCAGAUUUAAAAAUAAAGUCGACCCGGUGAAUUAAUACCUCGACGGGACUUUCUUGUGGUCGAAAGGCCUCUCACUGAUAGUUCUGGUAGAGUGUUAAUAAUGUUGGUCGAAUUUUAUUUAAGCUAGGCAAGCUUAGUUGAAAGCAAGACGAUAUUCGAAGGAUGAGAAAUUUUAGUCGAAAACUGUCCGAAAUUGUCGUUAAAUUUCUUAACUAAAUUCCAACCAGUCUAAUACCUUCACCAGCUAUUCUUCUUGCUUUCUCAGUAAAUCAGUCACAUGAGCUGCACCUACCUGCUUGCUUGCUUCACUAAAGUCACAUGAAAGUCACAAGCUGGUUGCUUGUUUAAUAAAAACAAAAUAAUCUUUCUUCAAAGGAGGCAAAGGACAGCAACUUGCUUUGGUUUAAUAAACCCUCACCUGAAGCAACUUCUUAUGUUAUAAAACACCAUCUUCUCUCCUCUAGACGUUCAUAACCUGCAAGAAAAACCAGAGAAAAAUUCAGAGAGAAAGAGAGAAAGAAGAGAAAAAAAUUUGUGAGAAAAACUAGUUGAAAAAUUCAGAAACAAAAUUCAGAGAAGAGAAUUGAGCAUGUACAAACCUUUCUCACCAUCAUGUGACUUUAUCCAGUGUGUACUGGUGUGGUUAAGAGCUGAAGGUUUGGUGUCCAAGAGUUUAGAAUCACCCAUAUUCUUCAGCCUUUGAUUUUGAUCGGUAAGAUGGUUGUGGAUCAGUUUCUUUGAGAAGUUUUGUUGGUUUGCCUACACUGGAUAUAAAUUCUGAAUAAAUCCAACCAUGGAUUCUUGUGGUAUUGAUCAGGUUAAUUCGUGGUUAACUUGAAGAGAGACAACCAGUCAAGUUUAAUUAGUUGAGUAAAACCGGUAAGCUUCAGCUCUUGAUUCAGCUAUGUUUUGAUGAGAACCAAUUGCUGUAUGUUGGUUAACCUGUCAGGAUCAGUUGUCUAAGGUCUUGUUCUCUUCAGUCUUGGUUGGUUUAUGAUUUAAUCAGUCUCAUAGAACCAGUAGACGAACUGAUAAGAAUUAUGGGAAUUAAACCGAACUGAUUUGAUCUUGUUUAGAACUGAAAUGAGCUGAGUAUGUUCUGAUCUGAUCUGAGCCGAGCUGAACAUGGUAUCAAUCUGUCUUGAACCGAACUGAUAUGAGAGAACUGAACUGAAAUGUUAUGAACUGAGUUGAGUUUCUUCUUGAACCAGACUAGUGAACCCUUAUGUUCCAACUGUUAUGUUUUGAAUUCAGAUGGCCAAGGAGAGUAUUCGAAUCAGCCGGAUCCUUAUGAUGGUUCUGAACCGAGAGUGAUCCAGAAGUGAAGUGUGAUUAGCUUGAGCUCGAGUCUAGUCUUCCUUAGCCAAUCUCAUGGAUUUAAAGGUGAGUCUAGAUGAUGAAUGAAUUAUGAAUGAGUAUGCAUGAUUGCAUAUUGAAUAUUGAAUAUUGAAUAUGGUUGAUUAAUUAAGAAUUAAUCAUGAAUUAAUUAAGGGAUAAUCAUUGAUUAAUUAAGGAUUAAUCAUGGAUUAAUUAAGGAGUAAUUAUGGUUGAUUGAUUAAGUAUUCUCCAUUGAUCUAUAUUUAUAUAUGAAGUAUUUAUCUAGUUUAAAUACUUAAGAAUUAAUAAGAAUAAUUCUUUGAGGUUAUCCCGAGCCUUAGUACUUGUUCUCAAGUACUAAUCUAUAAGUAUUCUAUUAAUAAGUGUGAAUCAUGUGAAGUCUUAUUGUAUACUCACUCUCCCGAAAGUCCCGCAUUACCGUGAAUUGGUCCUGCGAUAUGGAUCAAGGUCAUGAAGACACGAUGAUGGGGUCGCACCCUGGAGGCCGUGUAACUGCAUGCAGCGUUGGAUGUUCUAUCUUGGAAUAUCUGAUGGAGAUGAUGGUUAUAUUUAUUCCCCGUUAGGCUCGGUUAGCCUUGGUGGUUUUCCGGGUUUAGCAUAUAUAUAUAUAUAUAUAUAUAAGAGUAUGAGUGAUUGGCGGGUAUUGUGGAGGUGAUGUUUAAGAUAGAUUCACAUGGAUGGAUUGAGAGGCCUUAUAAUUAUAUUAAUUAUGGAAUAUAAUUCCACUGCAUUCAAAUGGUGUCG
Molecule: long non-coding RNA, 6367 nt
Filed under: Brassica rapa (field mustard)
Lineage: Eukaryota; Viridiplantae; Streptophyta; Magnoliopsida; Brassicales; Brassicaceae
Description: long non-coding RNA (BRAP_LNC008949)
Source: RNAcentral